UGCGUAGGCCGCGCGGAGGGUGGGAUGUGAAAUCCCCCGGCUCAACCGGGGAAUAGCGUCCCAAACCGCCGUGCUCGAGGGAGACAGAGGUGAGCGGAACUGAUGGUGGAGCGGUGAAAUGCGUUGAUAUCAUCAGGAACACCAGUUGCGAAAGCGGCUCACUGGGUCUUUCCUAACGCUGAGGCACGAAAGCUAGGGGAGCGAACA
RNAcentral lists this ribosomal RNA (207 nucleotides) under uncultured bacterium. RNAcentral's name for it is "partial 16S ribosomal RNA". It matches the Rfam family "Bacterial small subunit ribosomal RNA", at positions 568 to 774 of the family's 1533-position model. The record is from RNAcentral.